This 73-nucleotide transfer RNA is filed under the name Microcaldota archaeon. RNAcentral describes it as "tRNA-Trp". It matches the Rfam family "tRNA". Rfam says of the family: Transfer RNA (tRNA) molecules are approximately 80 nucleotides in length. RNAcentral also lists the same sequence under 1 other name. The record is from RNAcentral. Lineage: Archaea; Nanobdellati; Microcaldota.
GGGGUUGUAGCGUAACUUGGCAGCGCGGCAGGCUCCAGACCUGCAAAUCUGGGUUCAAAUCCCAGCGACCCCA